This 769-nucleotide ribosomal RNA is filed under the name uncultured bacterium. Its description in RNAcentral is "bacterial SSU rRNA". It matches the Rfam family "Bacterial small subunit ribosomal RNA", at positions 572 to 1337 of the family's 1533-position model. The record is from RNAcentral.
UAGGUGGUUUGUCGCGUCGUUUGUGUAAGCCCGCAGCUUAACUGCGGGACUGCAGGCGAUACGGGCAUAACUUGAGUGCUGUAGGGGAGACUGGAAUUCCUGGUGUAGCGGUGGAAUGCGCAGAUAUCAGGAGGAACACCGAUGGCGAAGGCAGGUCUCUGGGCAGUAACUGACGCUGAGGAGCGAAAGCAUGGGUAGCGAACAGGAUUAGAUACCCUGGUAGUCCAUGCCGUAAACGGUGGGCGCUAGGUGUGAGUCCCUUCCACGGGGUUCGUGCCGUAGCUAACGCAUUAAGCGCCCCGCCUGGGGAGUACGGCCGCAAGGCUAAAACUCAAAGGAAUUGACGGGGGCCCGCACAAGCGGCGGAGCAUGUGGAUUAAUUCGAUGCAACGCGAAGAACCUUACCUGGGCUUGACAUACACCAGACCGGGCCAGAGAUGGUCUUUCCCUUUGUGGUUGGUGUACAGGUGGUGCAUGGUUGUCGUCAGCUCGUGUCGUGAGAUGUUGGGUUAAGUCCCGCAACGAGCGCAACCCUUGUCUCAUGUUGCCAGCAAUUCGGUUGGGGACUCGUGAGAGACUGCCGGGGUUAACUCGGAGGAAGGUGGGGAUGACGUCAAAUCAUCAUGCCCCUUAUGUCCAGGGCUUCACACAUGCUACAAUGGUCGGUACAACGCGUCUGCGAGCCUGUGAGGGUGAGCUAAUCGCUGUGAAAGCCGGUCGUAGUUCGGAUUGGGGUCUGCAACUCGACCCCAUGAAGUCGGAGUCGCUA